This 465-nucleotide ribosomal RNA is filed under the name uncultured bacterium. RNAcentral describes it as "partial 16S ribosomal RNA". It matches the Rfam family "Bacterial small subunit ribosomal RNA", at positions 28 to 507 of the family's 1533-position model. The record is from RNAcentral.
GACGAACGCUGGCGGCGUGCUUAACACAUGCAAGUCGAGCGGAAAGGCCCUGCUUGCAGGGUACUCGAGUGGCGAACGGGUGAGUAACACGUGGGUGAUCUGCCCUGCACUUCGGGAUAAGCCUGGGAAACUGGGUCUAAUACCGGAUAUGACCUUCCAUGUAGUGUGGGGGGUGGAAAGAUUUAUCGGUGUGGGAUGAGCCCGCGGCCUAUCAGCUUGUUGGUGGGGUAAUGGCCUACCAAGGCGUCGACGGGUAGCCGGCCUGAGAGGGUGGACGGCCACAUUGGGACUGAGAUACGGCCCAGACUCCUACGGGAGGCAGCAGUGGGGAAUAUUGCACAAUGGGCGGAAGCCUGAUGCAGCGACGCCGCGUGGGGGAUGACGGCCUUCGGGUUGUAAACCUCUUUCGACAGGGACGAAGCUUCGGUGACGGUACCUGUAUAAGAAGCACCGGCUAACUACGUG